GGAUCCCAUCACGGACUUCAACUACCGAGAUGCCGCAGACCGAGAGCCUCCAUUCAACAGCUGCCAGUGACAACAGAGCCGCCUUCCCACGCACGGGCUGCCGAACCAAUUAGGCUGAGGCGGGAGCCUGCCGUGGCAAAAGGACUGGAGUUUACAGAAUAUAAUCAAAUCUGAAACGCCCCGAGCCAAUUUGAGAUUAUAGAGCUUUCUAACAGCCCCCGGCCCCAUUCCGCCAGCCUCACCAGAACAGAAGACAUCCUGUGGCCUAGAGGGAGAGGUCUGGUCUGGUGAUCCUGCUCACUGUGCUGGAAGCAACUCUGAAAUCUCAGCAGAUCUUUAGGCCUCUGCUUUUAUUUGGGUUUUGAUGGCCGGGAAGCCCAAGAUCAAGGUGCCCACCACUUUGGUUUCUUUGAUGAUUAUCUUCCUUGCUUCCUGAGGGCUACCUUC
Long non-coding RNA from Chinchilla lanigera (long-tailed chinchilla), 447 nucleotides. RefSeq lists it as uncharacterized. The record is from RefSeq and is a predicted model, not a curated record. NCBI's taxonomy places the organism in Eukaryota, Metazoa, Chordata, Mammalia, Rodentia, Chinchillidae. The transcript has 3 exons.